This 472-nucleotide ribosomal RNA is filed under the name uncultured bacterium. RNAcentral describes it as "bacterial SSU rRNA". It matches the Rfam family "Bacterial small subunit ribosomal RNA", at positions 35 to 518 of the family's 1533-position model. The record is from RNAcentral.
AACGGCUGGCGGCGUGCCCUAACACAUGCAAGUCGAGCGAGGAGAUCCUUCGGGAUGAUCCUAGCGGCGGACGGGUGAGUAACACGUGGGCAACCUGCCUCAUAGAGAGGAAUAGCCUUCCGAAAGGAGAUUAAUACCUCAUAACAUUGCAGUUUCGCAUGGAACAGCAAUUAAAGGAGCAAUCCGCUAUGAGAUGGGGCCCGCGGCGCAUUAGCUAGUUGGUGAGGUAACGGCUCACCAAGGCGACGAUGCGUAGCCGACCUGAGAGGGUGAUCGGCCACAUUGGGACUGAGACACGGCCCAGACUCCUACGGGAGGCAGGCAGUGGGGAAUAUUGCACAAUGGGGGAAACCCUGAUGCAGCCAACGCCGCGUGAGUGAUGACGGCCUUCGGGUUGUAAAGCUCUGUCUUCAGGGACGAUAAUGACGGUACCUGAGGAGGAAGCCACGGCUAACUACGUGCCAGCAGCAGC